UGGGGAAUCUUGGACAAUGGGCGCAAGCCUGAUCCAGCCAUGCCGCGUGAGUGAUGAAGGCCUUAGGGUUGUAAAGCUCUUUUGGCGGGGACGAUAAUGACGGUACCCGCAGAAUAAGUCCCGGCUAACUUCGUGCCAGCAGCCGCGGUAAUACGAAGGGGACUAGCGUUGUUCGGAAUCACUGGGCGUAAAGCGCACGUAGGCGGAUUUGUAAGUCAGGGGUGAAAUCCCGGGGCUCAACCUCGGAACUGCCUUUGAUACUGCGGAUCUCGAGUCCGAUAGAGGUGGGUGGAAUUCCUAGUGUAGAGGUGAAAUUCGUAGAUAUUAGGAAGAACACCGGUGGCGAAGGCGGCCCACUGGAUCGGUACUGACGCUGAGGUGCGAAAGCGUGGGGAGCAAACAGGAUUAGAUACCCAAGUAGUCCCUGAGCGGGCUGGCAAGGCGCAU
Molecule: ribosomal RNA, 447 nt
Filed under: uncultured bacterium
Lineage: Bacteria
Description: bacterial SSU rRNA
Rfam family: Bacterial small subunit ribosomal RNA
Source: RNAcentral